This 422-nucleotide ribosomal RNA is filed under the name uncultured bacterium. Its description in RNAcentral is "bacterial SSU rRNA". It matches the Rfam family "Bacterial small subunit ribosomal RNA", at positions 355 to 774 of the family's 1533-position model. The record is from RNAcentral.
UAAGGAAUAUUGGUCAAUGGACGCAAGUCUGAACCAGCCAUGCCGCGUGGAGGAUGAAGGCCCUCUGGGUUGUAAACUUCUUUUAUCUGGGAAGAAACCCAUCUUUUCUAAGGUGGUUGACGGUACCAGUUGAAUAAGCACCGGCUAACUCCGUGCCAGCAGCCGCGGUAAUACGGAGGGUGCAAGCGUUAUCCGGAUUCACUGGGUUUAAAGGGUGCGUAGGUGGGCAGGUAAGUCAGUGGUGAAAUCUCAGGGCUUAACCCAGAAACUGCCGUUGAUACUAUCUGUCUUGAAUAUAGUGGAGGUGAGCGGAAUAUGUCAUGUAGCGGUGAAAUGCUUAGAUAUGACAUAGAACACCAAUUGCGAAGGCAGCUCGCUACACUAUCAUUGACACUGAGGCACGAAAGCGCGGGGAUCAAACA